Small nuclear RNA from Molossus molossus (Pallas's mastiff bat), 191 nucleotides. RefSeq annotates it as U2 spliceosomal RNA. The transcript has a single exon. The record is from RefSeq and is a predicted model, not a curated record. NCBI's taxonomy places the organism in Eukaryota, Metazoa, Chordata, Mammalia, Chiroptera, Molossidae.
AUCGCUUCUCGGCCUUUUGGCUAAGAUCAAGUGUAGUAUAUGUUCUUUUCAGUUUAAUAUCUGAUACAUCCGCUAUCCGAGGACAAUAUAUUAAAUGAAUUUUUGGAGCAGGGAGAUGGAAUAGAAGCUUGCUCUGUCCACUCCACACAUCAACCCGGUAUUACAGUACCUCUGGGAAUGGUGCAAGAAGG